RNAcentral lists this transfer RNA (87 nucleotides) under Neochlamydia sp. S13. It matches the Rfam family "tRNA". From Rfam's summary of the family: Transfer RNA (tRNA) molecules are approximately 80 nucleotides in length. Their secondary structure includes four short double-helical elements and three loops (D, anti-codon, and T loops). Further hydrogen bonds mediate the characteristic L-shaped molecular structure. tRNAs have two regions of fundamental functional importance: the anti-codon, which is responsible for specific mRNA codon recognition, and the 3' end, to which the tRNAs corresponding amino acid is attached (by aminoacyl-tRNA synthetases). tRNAs cope with the degeneracy of the genetic code in two manners: having more than one tRNA (with a specific anti-codon) for a particular amino acid; and 'wobble' base-pairing, i.e. permitting non-standard base-pairing at the 3rd anti-codon position. RNAcentral also lists the same sequence under 5 other names. The record is from Rfam by way of RNAcentral. Lineage: Bacteria; Pseudomonadati; Chlamydiota; Chlamydiia; Parachlamydiales; Parachlamydiaceae.
GGAAGAGUGGCAGAGUGGCUGAAUGCGUCUGUCUCGAAAACAGAUUUACUCGUAAGGGUAACGGGGGUUCAAAUCCCUCCUCUUCCG